RNAcentral lists this transfer RNA (66 nucleotides) under Bemisia afer. RNAcentral's name for it is "tRNA-Asn". The record is from RNAcentral. Lineage: Eukaryota; Metazoa; Arthropoda; Insecta; Hemiptera; Aleyrodidae.
UUAGAUAAAACCAAAAUAGAGGUAUACUUCUGUUAAUAGUAAAAUUGAACAUAAUUCUAUCUAAAC